CGGACGGGUGAGUAAUGUCUGGGAAACUGCCUGAUGGAGGGGGGUAACUACUGGAAACGGUAGCUAAUACCGCAUAACGUCGCAAGACCAAGAGGGGGACCUUAGGGCCUCUUGCCAUCGGAUGUGCCCAGAUGGGAUUAGCUAGUAGGUGGGGUAAAGGCUCACCUAGGCGACGAUCCCUAGCUGGUCUGAGAGGAUGACCAGCCACACUGGAACUGAGACACGGUCCAG
Molecule: ribosomal RNA, 231 nt
Filed under: uncultured bacterium
Lineage: Bacteria
Description: partial 16S ribosomal RNA
Rfam family: Bacterial small subunit ribosomal RNA
Source: RNAcentral